GAUGAACGCUGGCGGCGUGCCUAAUACAUGCAAGUCGAGCGAACAGAUGCUGAGCUUGCUCCUCUGACGUUAGCGGCGGACGGGUGAGUAACACGUGUAUAACCUACCUAUAAGACUGGUAUAACUUCGGGAAACCGGAGCUAAUACCGGAUAAUAUAUUGAACCGCAUGGUUCAAUAGUGAAAGACGGUUUUGCUGUCACUUAUAGAUGGAUCUGCGCCGCAUUAGCUAGUUGGUAAGGUAACGGCUUACCAAGGCAACGAUGCGUAGCCGACCUGAGAGGGUGAUCGGCCACACUGGAGCUGAGACACGGUCCAGACUCCUACGAGAGGCAGCAGUAGGGAAUGUUCCGCAGUGGGCGAAAGCUUGACGGAGCAACGGCGCGUGAGUGAUGGAGGUCUUCGGAUCGUAAAACUCUGUUAUUAGGGAAGAACAAAUGUGUAAGUAACUAUGCACGUAUUGACGGUACCUAGUCAGAAAGCCACGGCUAACUACGUG
RNAcentral lists this ribosomal RNA (497 nucleotides) under uncultured bacterium. RNAcentral's name for it is "partial 16S ribosomal RNA". It matches the Rfam family "Bacterial small subunit ribosomal RNA", at positions 28 to 507 of the family's 1533-position model. The record is from RNAcentral.